Molecule: RNA transcript, 3258 nt
Organism: Brachypodium distachyon (stiff brome)
Lineage: Eukaryota; Viridiplantae; Streptophyta; Magnoliopsida; Poales; Poaceae
Gene name: protein transport protein sec23-1
Exons: 3
Source: RefSeq, a predicted model, not a curated record
CCUGGAAGGCUGGAGGGAAGCAGCCAAACAGGUAGGGGGGAAGGCCGGAAAAAAGAAAGGGAUUGAGAUUUGAGAAAGGAAGCAGAGCAAAUGGCAGGGGAACAUUGCAAAACCCUAGUCGCCACUCCACCGCCCAUCUGAUUCGAUUCCGAUGGACUUCGCGGAGCUGGAGGCGGUGGAGGGCCUCCGGUGGCCGUGGCACUCGUGGCCGACCACGCCCUCCGCGGCGGCGGCGCUCGUCGUCCCCACCGCCGUGCUCUGCACGCCGCUCCACCCCACGGCGCCCGACCUCCUCCCGAUCCUCCCCUACCCGCCCCUCCGCUGCGCCUCGCCCGCCUGCGCCGCCGCACUCAACCCCUUCUCUCGCGUCAACCACGCCUCCGCGCGCUGGUCCUGCUCCUUCUGUGGCUCCACCGCCAACCCCUUCCCGCGCCACCUCUCCCCCGACUCGCUCCCGGCCGAGCUAUUCCCCACCCACUCUAGCGUCGAGUACACGCUGCCCCCUGACCCUGCCGAGGGGGUCGGAGCUCAGCCUGCCAUCGUAUUUGUCGUCGAUGCGGCCACCGCUGGGGCCGAGCUCGCUGCGCUCAAGGCCGAGGUGCUCAGGGUCGUGCAGGGGCUGCCUGAGAGGGUCAGGGUAGCUCUCGUCACAUUCUCUGCGUCGGUAUGGGUGCAUGAUCUCGGCUUCGAAGGCUGCUCCAGGGUAGUUGUGUUCAAUGGGGAGCGUGAGCUGGAGUCGGACAAGAUACAGCAACUUCUAGGAGUUCGACAGUCACGAUACCAAAAAUUGGCUACGCCAAUGGCCAUUGAAGUACAGAGAUUUUUGUUGCCUGUUUCUGAAUGUGAGUUUAACAUCACAUCUGCAAUAGAGGACAUGAACUCCAUGUCUUCUUGCCCACGUGGGCAUCGCCCUUUAAGAGCCACCGGUGCUGCUAUUUCAACAGCUAUUGCUCUUCUGGAAGGUUGCUGCUCCGCUAACACUGGUGGCCGGAUCAUGGUUUUUACAUCUGGUCCCACGACAGUGGGUCCUGGGCUUGUGGUGGAAACUGAUCUUGGGAAAGCAAUUCGCUCGCAUCGUGACAUUUUCAACGGCAAUGUGCCCCUCAUUGAAAAAGCCCAAGACUUCUAUAAGAAAGUUGCUAAGAGAUUAACAGACAAUUCAUUAGUUCUUGAUCUGUUGGCGUGCUCACUCGACCAGGUUGGGGCUGCAGAGCUGAGGUAUCCAGUUGAAGUGUCUGGGGGCUUAAUGGUGCUUACAGAGUCAUUUGAGUCCGAACAGUUUAAAAGUUGUUUAAGGCAAGCCUUCAAGCGUGAAGGUAUUGAUUACCUUAACAUGAACUUUGGUGCAACGAUCGAAAUAGUGACAUCAAGGGAAGUCAAGAUUUGUGGUGCCCUUGGUCCCUGCAUCUCCCUGCACAGAAAAAACAGAUUGGUUAGUGAGAAAGAAAUUGGUGAGGGUGGUACAAAUAGUUGGAAAAUGAGCACACUGAACAGCAAAACAUGUAUUGCUUUCUUCUUCCGAGUGGAUUGUAGACGUGAUACUGAGCCCCCAACUGUCUUCUUUAUCCAGUUCAUGACAAGGUAUCGACAUGGUGAUGGUAGCUAUCGCCUAAGGGUAACGACUGUUGCGAGAAGAUGGGCUGGACCUCGAUCUCCUGAAAUUGUUACCGGAUUUGAUCAGGAAGCUGCUGCAGCAGUUAUGGCCAGGCUUGCUGUUCACAGAGCAGAGACAUACCAUGUUAGAGAUGUAAUACGAUGGCUUGAUAAGAUGCUUAUUCGCUUUACUGCUAAGUUUGGAAACUAUGUCCCUGAAGAUCCGUCUACAUUUCGGUUGUCAACUAAUUUCUCCUUGUAUCCCCAGUUCAUGUACUAUCUGCGAAGGUCACAGUUCAUUGAUGUUGUCAACAGCUCUCCUGAUGAAACUGCUUUCUUUCGGUUGAUGCUGAAUAGGGAGGGAGUUGUGGGAUCGCUGAUCAUGAUCCAGCCAACUUUAUUCCAGUACUCAUUUGAUGGACCACCUAUUCCUGUACUGCUAGAUGUCAGUUCCAUCUCUCCUGAUGUCAUUUUGUUAUUUGAUUCGUACUUCUAUAUUGUGAUUCAUUAUGGCUCGAAGAUUGCUCAGUGGAGGAAACUUGGCUAUCACAAGGACCCAAACCAUGAAAAUUUACGGAAGCUGCUGGAAGCACCAGAAGUUGAUGCAGAGGCACUAUUGACGGAUCGUUUCCCAGUGCCAAGACUCAUAAAAUGUGAUCAGCAUGGCAGCCAGGCCAGGUUUUUACUAGCCCGGUUGAAUCCAUCUGUUACACAGAAAUCACAGCUUUCUGAAGGGUCGGAAGUCAUAUUCACAGAUGAUGUUAGUCUGCAAGUUUUUAUUGAACACUUGCAGGAGUUGGCUGUUCAGGGUUAGCGAUGCAUGGACCUGGCCAUGUCUCUGCUAUCCCAGUUGGGCCCAUUGCAGAUCCUGAAGAUGCGGCUUUCUGAGAGAUCAGAUGUCACAUUCACAGAUGAUGUUUACUUGCAAGUUUUAUUGAACACUUGCAGUAACUGGCUGUAUAGGAUGAAUGAGUUCAUGUGGAUUAUGUACAUCUUAUUUUCUGGUCGUCUGUUAUGUUGGAAAUAUUGAGGUCUGCUACCUGGAGGAAUGGAAUCUCCUUGAUCUAUUGUACAUUGCUCCAACUCCAGUUUGAUGUAAGCCAGCCACCCUUUUAGUUUUCGAAUAGCGUGUGAUGUUAUCAAUCUUUACCCUUCACGAACGUUGAGGUGCCUCUGAACACGUUUGGUUCUCAUGCCGACGGAUUUACCAGUAGCGCUGAAGGUACUGAACAUCUUCUGCAGAGCAAUGGAGAGGUCCUUGUAGGUGUUGUACAUCUUGAGGUCCACCUUGCGCAGGUACGGCGCACCGUCCAUGCUCACCUUCACAAAGGCAGACCCGUUGCCACCAGCAGUAGCAGCAGGCUGCUCCUUCUCGGCUUCCUCUUCCUUCUUGAUCUUCACCGACUGGACGGUCAUGGCGUUCCUGCGGUACGAUCGGACUGGUGGCCAACCAACAGCUUGUGCCCUGAUUAUAUGCAACACACAGAAUUAGCUACACAUUUGCCACUUGAUAUUUUUUUCAUGUACCAAUUCUAAUCUAGCUGUGUCUAGUCUACUGGUGCUGUAAAAAUAAAUAAGAUUCUUUGCUGUUGUAACUGGAAGUUCUAUCUAACUAGAUCAUGCAUGUUACUAUAUUCUUUCUGGUAGCCAACUCUGUUUAACUAA